RNAcentral lists this ribosomal RNA (406 nucleotides) under uncultured bacterium. RNAcentral describes it as "partial 16S ribosomal RNA". It matches the Rfam family "Bacterial small subunit ribosomal RNA", at positions 30 to 526 of the family's 1533-position model. The record is from RNAcentral.
AUUGAACGCUGGCGGCAAGCCUAACACAUGCAAGUCGAACGAGUGGCGGACGGGUGAGUAAUGUCUGGGAAACCGCCUGAUGGAGGGGGAUAACUACUGGAAACGGUAGCUAAUACCGCAUACCAUCGGAUGUGCCCAGAUGGGAUUAGCUAGUAUGUGGGGUAAAGGCUCACCUAGGCGACAAUCCCUAGCUGGUCUGAGAGGAUGACCAGCCACUCUGGAGCUGAGACACGGUCCAGACUCCUACGAGAGGAAGCAGUGGGAAGUAUUGCCCAAGGGGCGCAAGCCUGAUGCAGCCAUGCCGCGUGUAUGAAGAAGGCCUUCGGGUUGUGAAGUACUUUCAGCGGGGAGGCGUUACCCGCUGAAGAGGCACCGGCUAACUCCGUGCCAGCAGCCGCGGUAAUUC